UUUAUGGAGAGUUUGAUCCUGGCUCAGGACGAACGCUGGCGGCGUGCCUAAUACAUGCAAGUCGAGCGGACUUGAUGGAGUGCUUGCACUCCUGAUGGUUAGCGGCGGACGGGUGAGUAACACGUAGGUAACCUGCCUGUAAGACUGGGAUAACAUUCGGAAACGAAUGCUAAUACCGGAUACGCGAGUUGGUCGCAUGGCCGAUUCGGGAAAGACGGAGCAAU
RNAcentral lists this ribosomal RNA (224 nucleotides) under Paenibacillus pinisoli. RNAcentral's name for it is "partial 16S ribosomal RNA". It matches the Rfam family "Bacterial small subunit ribosomal RNA", at positions 1 to 214 of the family's 1533-position model. Lineage: Bacteria; Bacillati; Bacillota; Bacilli; Caryophanales; Paenibacillaceae. The record is from RNAcentral.